RNAcentral lists this long non-coding RNA (582 nucleotides) under Homo sapiens (human). Its description in RNAcentral is "non-protein coding lnc-RESP18-6:1". The record is from RNAcentral. Lineage: Eukaryota; Metazoa; Chordata; Mammalia; Primates; Hominidae.
UGAUUUGGGGAGUGGGCUGGGAAUUGAAGGGCAGAGGCAGUUGCCCAUCAGGAGGCACCUGAACUUAUGGAUGCCGCACUCAGCUGUGCCCUCCUCGCAAUCCCCCCACAACCCACGUCUCCCCACAGAGUCCCCAUUCUUGCCACAGCCAUCCAGGAGGAGCUGGAGAAGGGGACUCCUGAGCCAGGGCCUCUCAAUGCUGUGGAUGAGCGGCACCAUUCGGUCCUCAUGUCCCUGCUCUGUGCCCAUCUGGGGCUGAGCCCCAAGGACAUAGUGGAGAUGGAGCUCUGCCUUGCAGACACCCAGCCUGCGGUGAGGACUGGCUGUAGGAACCUGUGGGUGAAGGGCCUCCAGGAUCCUGGCCACCCCUAGCCCGUCCUGCUGAAGCACCCAUCACCUCCACCAAGCCCUCAGUAACUCUCAUCCCCGUUUUUCCCAGUAGACACAUCCCCCACUGCUUCUAGGGCGGUGGUUCUCAAAAAGACAAGUUCCCUACCCCAGACCUGCCCACUAGGACUAUCUGGGAAUUGGCCCUUUUUACAGAUUCCCAAAGAGUUUCUUCUACAGGUGGGCCCUGUCUGC